Molecule: ribosomal RNA, 1647 nt
Filed under: Staphylococcus aureus M0132
Lineage: Bacteria; Bacillati; Bacillota; Bacilli; Caryophanales; Staphylococcaceae
Also listed under: 3 other names
Description: bacterial LSU rRNA
Rfam family: Bacterial large subunit ribosomal RNA
Source: RNAcentral
GAGUGAAAUAGAACCUGAAACCGUGUGCUUACAAGUAGUCAGAGCCCGUUAAUGGGUGAUGGCGUGCCUUUUGUAGAAUGAACCGGCGAGUUACGAUUUGAUGCAAGGUUAAGCAGUAAAUGUGGAGCCGUAGCGAAAGCGAGUCUGAAUAGGGCGUUUAGUAUUUGGUCGUAGACCCGAAACCAGGUGAUCUACCCUUGGUCAGGUUGAAGUUCAGGUAACACUGAAUGGAGGACCGAACCGACUUACGUUGAAAAGUGAGCGGAUGAACUGAGGGUAGCGGAGAAAUUCCAAUCGAACCUGGAGAUAGCUGGUUCUCUCCGAAAUAGCUUUAGGGCUAGCCUCAAGUGAUGAUUAUUGGAGGUAGAGCACUGUUUGGACGAGGGGCCCCUCUCGGGUUACCGAAUUCAGACAAACUCCGAAUGCCAAUUAAUUUAACUUGGGAGUCAGAACAUGGGUGAUAAGGUCCGUGUUCGAAAGGGAAACAGCCCAGACCACCAGCUAAGGUCCCAAAAUAUAUGUUAAGUGGAAAAGGAUGUGGCGUUGCCCAGACAACUAGGAUGUUGGCUUAGAAGCAGCCAUCAUUUAAAGAGUGCGUAAUAGCUCACUAGUCGAGUGACACUGCGCCGAAAAUGUACCGGGGCUAAACAUAUUACCGAAGCUGUGGAUUGUCCUUUGGACAAUGGUAGGAGAGCGUUCUAAGGGCGUUGAAGCAUGAUCGUAAGGACAUGUGGAGCGCUUAGAAGUGAGAAUGCCGGUGUGAGUAGCGAAAGACGGGUGAGAAUCCCGUCCACCGAUUGACUAAGGUUUCCAGAGGAAGGCUCGUCCGCUCUGGGUUAGUCGGGUCCUAAGCUGAGGCCGACAGGCGUAGGCGAUGGAUAACAGGUUGAUAUUCCUGUACCACCUAUAAUCGUUUUAAUCGAUGGGGGGACGCAGUAGGAUAGGCGAAGCGUGCGAUUGGAUUGCACGUCUAAGCAGUAAGGCUGAGUAUUAGGCAAAUCCGGUACUCGUUAAGGCUGAGCUGUGAUGGGGAGAAGACAUUGAGUCUUCGAGUCGUUGAUUUCACACUGCCGAGAAAAGCCUCUAGAUAGAAAAUAGGUGCCCGUACCGCAAACCGACACAGGUAGUCAAGAUGAGAAUUCUAAGGUGAGCGAGCGAACUCUCGUUAAGGAACUCGGCAAAAUGACCCCGUAACUUCGGGAGAAGGGGUGCUCUUUAGGGUUAACGCCCAGAAGAGCCGCAGUGAAUAGGCCCAAGCGACUGUUUAUCAAAAACACAGGUCUCUGCUAAACCGUAAGGUGAUGUAUAGGGGCUGACGCCUGCCCGGUGCUGGAAGGUUAAGAGGAGUGGUUAGCUUCUGCGAAGCUACGAAUCGAAGCCCCAGUAAACGGCGGCCGUAACUAUAACGGUCCUAAGGUAGCGAAAUUCCUUGUCGGGUAAGUUCCGACCCGCACGAAAGGCGUAACGAUUUGGGCACUGUCUCAACGAGAGACUCGGUGAAAUCAUAGUACCUGUGAAGAUGCAGGUUACCCGCGACAGGACGGAAAGACCCCGUGGAGCUUUACUGUAGCCUGAUAUUGAAAUUCGGCACAGCUUGUACAGGAUAGGUAGGAGCCUUUGAAACGUGAGCGCUAGCUUACGUGGAGG